UACAGAGGUCUCAAGCGUUGUUCGGAAUUAUUGGGCGUAAAGGGUGCGUAGGCGGUUUGGUAAGUCUCUUGUGAAAUCUAUGGGCUCAACUCAUAGUCUGCAAGGGAAACUGCCGGGCUUGAGUGUGGGAGAGGUGAGUGGAAUUUCCGGUGUAGCGGUGAAAUGCGUAGAUAUCGGAAGGAACACCUGUGGCGAAAGCGGCUCACUGGACCACAACUGACGCUGAUGCACGAAAGCUAGGGGAGCAAACAGG
This 253-nucleotide ribosomal RNA is filed under the name uncultured bacterium. RNAcentral's name for it is "partial 16S ribosomal RNA". It matches the Rfam family "Bacterial small subunit ribosomal RNA", at positions 524 to 776 of the family's 1533-position model. The record is from RNAcentral.